Molecule: long non-coding RNA, 301 nt
Organism: Beta vulgaris subsp. vulgaris (sugar beet)
Lineage: Eukaryota; Viridiplantae; Streptophyta; Magnoliopsida; Caryophyllales; Amaranthaceae
Exons: 2
Source: RefSeq, a predicted model, not a curated record
AUUUUUUUCUUUUUCUUUUUCUUGUUUUUAUUCGCCUGUUUUAAUUUUUCGUAAUUUGUCAUUUUUUUCAGAAUUCAGAUCUUGUUUGAAGACCUCGUUUUUUCAUUUCGUGAAUUUUUCAAAGAACUCAUUUUUUCAUCCUAAAAUCUCCAGAUGUGUUCGAAGUAUAACAACGAGAAGGAAGAUCAAGAUGUGAAGGAAGCUCCAACAUUUUUUUUACUAUUAUUGAUAGAUUUGUUUUUAUGAAUUAUUGUAAUAUAUAUGUUCUAAAAUUCGAAGCAUUUUCGUUUUUAUUUUUCCA